Molecule: long non-coding RNA, 2535 nt
Filed under: Homo sapiens (human)
Lineage: Eukaryota; Metazoa; Chordata; Mammalia; Primates; Hominidae
Description: HSALNT0403528
Source: RNAcentral
UCCUCCCCAUUGUCUCUCUCUGGUCUUUAUUAUGAGGUCACUAAUUCCAUCCAUGAGGGCAGUCACUCUCAAAAGGCCUCACCUCCCAAAGGCGCCACCUCCUAAUACAAUCAUCAUGGAUGCCAGGAUUUUAAUAUAUGAAUUUUUAGGAGGAACACAAAAUUCAGUGUAUUGCAACUAAUUUUGCAAAUAUUGGCUGAUUGGCAGUUUCUCCACUUUUAAUGCCAUUCAUUGGCUCAUGCUGCCUAAGGAGUCUUGUGGCUUUUGCUCUUUUUUGCUUUAUCUGCCCAUUUGUCAAUUUUCUGCAAGCCUGGUGGAGACCAAGCAACUCAAUCAGCUCUUCCUCUUCCUAUUGCCCUCAGAGCACCUCCUAGUGGCAAAAAGCAGGCAUUGUAAUCCCAGCAAGGCUUUUGAAAUUUGCUUCUUUCAUCCAUUUAUUUAGUUAUUGCCUGCAAAUGUUUCAACGAUAAUGUAAUGAUCCCUCUGCUGUCCAAAGGUUUGGAGAAUGUUAUGAAAGAACAUUUUUGUUUUUUUCUGUAGCCUCUGCACUGACCUGUAUUUCUGUUCCCAGGUGACUUGUACCACAAUUUGGGGCAACAGAACAUGCAUUUAAUGUUGGGUAUAAACUUUUAAUAAUUAGAAAACUGAGAAUGCCAAGAAACUAUUACAUGGUACAUCUGUAUAAGAGUAUUUAGAAUAAAAUGUAUGUGUUUUCUUAACACAAAUCAAGUAAUUUUGGGAGUUGAUAAAAGGCUAAUAGUUCAGAAAAUUAAAAUUAUAUGUUAAAGUCUUCUAUGAAAAAUACUUAACAUAAUUGCCAUGUGAGAGAGCUGGUAAACAUUAAUGAAAUUUCAAAAUCAGUGCAUAGAAGAGGGACAUGGUCGAUGGUUGAAAGUAAACAGCAGACUGGCCAGAAAUCUGAUUACAAAGACCAUGCAAAAAUGAAUAGGGCCUGAAGAUACCAAAUUCCUUCUGUUUUAAACCAAAUUGAUUUUCCCCUAAAAGAGUGUUAAUAAAAUACUUCACAUAGUGAGUUUAACUUUUCUUUCUCAGUCUCUAAGUUAUCUGGUAUACCAUUGUUUUUGAUGAAUUGCUUCUUCCUUAGUUUAUGUUUUGUGUCAUUUCAAUCUAAAUUGGUUCAAAGGGACACCUUCAGAUUUUCUUCAUUGGCAAUGACUAUUGAGCCCCUAUGAGAGUACAGUAGUCCCCCCUUAUCUGAGGGACAUACCUUCUAAGACCCACAGUGCACAUUUUCUAUACAUACAUACCUGUGAGAGUUAAUUUGUAAAUUAGGCGGAGUAAGAGAUUGACAACAAUAACAUAAUAAAAUAGAACAAUUGUAACAAUAUGCUGUAAUAAAAGUUAUGUGAACAUGGUCUUUUUCUCAAUAUCUUACUGUAAUGUACUCACCCUUCUUGUGAUGAUGUGAGAUGUGAGAUGGCAAAAUGCUUACGUGCUGAGAUGAAGUGAUGUGAAUGACGUAGGCAUUGUGACUUAGCAUUAGGCUACUAUUGACCUUCUGACCUAUUGUCAGAGGGAGGAUCAUCUGCUUCAGGUGAUUCUGGAUCAUUAAGCCACAAGGAUGACGAAGGUUGGGAGUCAGAAACAGACAGUGUCAAUGACUGAUGGACCAUGGUUGACCACAGGUAAUUGAAACCCUGGAAGGUGAAACUGCAGAUAAGGAGGACUACAGUGUUCAACUAUUUACAAAUAAUGACAGUGGCCACAAAGAUUACCUUGAAAAGAGACCGUGAGACAGUUUCACACAGACUGUGCCUGGAUUUCCAUGAGUCUCUGCCAACUGCUUUUUAAGAGGUUUGUUGGCAGGAAGUGUCUUGGUUUUCUUGAUGGCAGAGAUAAAGAAAAAAAGAAAAAAAACAAACGUGAAAAAUUCCAAGGAUCAAUUUGCUAUUCAGUUUGGAAAAUAGUUAUUUACAAGAAGCACUGUGGCAUCUACAAGAUCUUGCUACCUCACCCAACUACUCCCUCCCUAAUCCAAAAAAAUGAGAGAAACCCAUUGCAGUCUGUGGUUGGGGUUGAUUAAACAUCCCUUGGGGCCCUAAUGCCCUCGAAAUGAUGUGAAAUCACUGGGUUGUGUAUCAAAAGGGCAGGGUGAGCUCCUGGCUCAUCUGACUUUAAUCUCAAAUGGCUCCACACUGGUAGUUGAGAACAGACAAUUACUUCAUUAACUUUUGGAAAGUCUGAGGCAUUUGUGUUGCUUUCUGGACUGUGCUCUGCUACAGGGAGAGAAAAGACGAGGUCCAACGAGGCCAUUCAUGCCUGCCAAGUUUUCCUUUCUUUCCAAUCCAGGAAACAUACAUUGGUAGUGGGUAAGAUCCAAUAUUUUAUAAUGCUAAGACAGAGAGACUCACCCACUGAACAGCCCAGAGUGAAUAUUCCCCAAGUCUUGGCUGGCAUGUAAGCCCAGAAUCUUCACCCUUACUCUCAAACCUUUUGCCACCUCUAUCCAAGAAUUAUUUUUAAUAAUGUCAUGUUCUCUUCUUUCCCUUAAAUAAAUCCACUCAUAUAUGAAAA